GACGAACGCUGGCGGCGUGCUUAACACAUGCAAGUCGAACGGAAAGGCCUCUUUCGGGGGGUACUCGAGUGGCGAACGGGUGAGUAACACGUGAGUAACCUGCCCUUGACUUUGGGAUAACUUCAGGAAACUGGGGCUAAUACCGGAUAGGAGCUCCUGCUGCAUGGUGGGGGUUGGAAAGUUUCGGCGGUUGGGGAUGGACUCGCGGCUUAUCAGCUUGUUGAUGGGGUAGUGGCUUACCAAGGCUUUGACGGGUAGCCGGCCUGAGAGGGUGACCGGCCACAUUGGGACUGAGAUACGGCCCAGACUCCUACGGGAGGCAGCAGUGGGGAAUAUUGCACAAUGGGUGGAAGCCUGAUGCAGCAACGCCGUGUGCGGGAUGACGGCCUUCGGGUUGUAAACCGCUUUCGCUCAUGACGAAGCUUUGUGUGACGGUAGUGGGUAAAGAAGCACCGGCUAACUACGUG
This 467-nucleotide ribosomal RNA is filed under the name uncultured bacterium. Its description in RNAcentral is "partial 16S ribosomal RNA". It matches the Rfam family "Bacterial small subunit ribosomal RNA", at positions 28 to 507 of the family's 1533-position model. The record is from RNAcentral.